AGAGUUUGAUCAUGGCUCAGAUUGAACGCUGGCGGCAGGCCUAACACAUGCAAGUCGAGCGGUAGCACAGAGAGCUUGCUCUCGGGUGACGAGCGGCGGACGGGUGAGUAAUGUCUGGGAAACUGCCUGAUGGAGGGGGAUAACUACUGGAAACGGUAGCUAAUACCGCAUAACGUCGCAAGACCAAAGUGGGGGACCUUCGGGCCUCAUGCCAUCAGAUGUGCCCAGAUGGGAUUAGCUAGUAGGUGGGGUAACGGCUCACCUAGGCGACGAUCCCUAGCUGGUCUGAGAGGAUGACCAGCCACACUGGAACUGAGACACGGUCCAGACUCCUACGGGAGGCAGCAGUGGGGAAUAUUGCACAAUGGGCGCAAGCCUGAUGCAGCCAUGCCGCGUGUGUGAAGAAGGCCUUCGGGUUGUAAAGCACUUUCAGCGGGGAGGAAGGCGUUAAGGUUAAUAACCUUGUCGAUUGACGUUACCCGCAGAAGAAGCACCGGCUAACUCCGUGCCAGCAGCCGCGGUAAUACGGAGGGUGCAAGCGUUAAUCGGAAUUACUGGGCGUAAAGCGCACGCAGGCGGUCUGUCAAGUCGGAUGUGAAAUCCCCGGGCUCAACCUGGGAACUGCAUUCGAAACUGGCAGGCUAGAGUCUUGUAGAGGGGGGUAGAAUUCCAGGUGUAGCGGUGAAAUGCGUAGAGAUCUGGAGGAAUACCGGUGGCGAAGGCGGCCCCCUGGACAAAGACUGACGCUCAGGUGCGAAAGCGUGGGGAGCAAACAGGAUUAGAUACCCUGGUAGUCCACGCCGUAAACGAUGUCGAUUUGGAGGUUGUGCCCUUGAGGCGUGGCUUCCGGAGCUAACGCGUUAAAUCGACCGCCUGGGGAGUACGGCCGCAAGGUUAAAACUCAAAUGAAUUGACGGGGGCCCGCACAAGCGGUGGAGCAUGUGGUUUAAUUCGAUGCAACGCGAAGAACCUUACCUGGUCUUGACAUCCACAGAACUUUGCAGAGAUGGUUUGGUGCCUUCGGGAACUGUGAGACAGGUGCUGCAUGGCUGUCGUCAGCUCGUGUUGUGAAAUGUUGGGUUAAGUCCCGCAACGAGCGCAACCCUUAUCCUUUGUUGCCAGCGGUCCGGCCGGGAACUCAAAGGAGACUGCCAGUGAUAAACUGGAGGAAGGUGGGGAUGACGUCAAGUCAUCAUGGCCCUUACGACCAGGGCUACACACGUGCUACAAUGGCAUAUACAAAGAGAAGCGACCUCGCGAGAGCAAGCGGACCUCAUAAAGUAUGUCGUAGUCCGGAUUGGAGUCUGCAACUCGACUCCAUGAAGUCGGAAUCGCUAGUAAUCGUAGAUCAGAAUGCUACGGUGAAUACGUUCCCGGGCCUUGUACACACCGCCCGUCACACCAUGGGAGUGGGUUGCAAAAGAAGUAGGUAGCUUAACCUUCGGGAGGGCGCUUACCACUUUGUGAUUCAUGACUGGGGUGAAGUCGUAACAAGGUAACCGUAGGGGAACCUGCGGUUGGAUCACCU
This 1528-nucleotide ribosomal RNA is filed under the name Klebsiella pneumoniae. RNAcentral describes it as "bacterial SSU rRNA". It matches the Rfam family "Bacterial small subunit ribosomal RNA". Lineage: Bacteria; Pseudomonadati; Pseudomonadota; Gammaproteobacteria; Enterobacterales; Enterobacteriaceae. The record is from RNAcentral.